GGAGCGAUUGAACUCCAAGCCCUGCUCGGCAGGCUCCAGCUGACGGGCUAUUUUUUGCCGUGGUUGACUAAAUAUGGUCAGGGAGGGAAGAGCAGGAGCAGGGGCCGCGCGCCCGGGGUGAGGACUAAUCCCAUCCCUGGGCCUGCUCUCUGUUCCCUUCCUGCAUUAGAGAUUGGCUAUAAGGAGAAGGCUGACGGCUGCAGCAUGAAGCGCAUUAUUACCUUGUGAUUCCAUGACCCUCCUCUAUGCAUCCCUAACUCUCGAAAGCUGAUUCAGCUUUCAGCUAGUGCUCUGGUGAGUCCUCUGCUGCAACAGAAGCUCCUAACUGGACUUAAGACAGACAAAAACAGGCACGUUCUCUGUCCCAAAGACCUGACAGCAUUCACCAGUCAAGCAUAGGAAGAGGAGGUGGCAAAGAAGGGACCCACUUCUGCCUUUGAUCUUCCAAGUGUCUCAGGUGGUGUGAUCAGAUCAGCUGGAUUCUGCCCAUGGAGUUUUUUUUCUGGCAAUCCUUUUCCUUCACCUGUUUUUCUGUUAUUUUUUAAAAUUUUUUUUCUGAGAGGGGAGAAAAGAAAGGACGAGCAAGCCAACAGGCAGAUAAUUGUUCUGUGCUGACAGUUUGUUAAGUGAUGGAAGCACAGUUUUAGUCAAGAGAUCUUCGUUACAGCAGCGAGUGAGCAGAAGUCUCUUCCUCCCAGAUGGCAUUGACAUAUAGCCUGAAGGGGCAAUCAGGAUACAAAGCUAAAGAUGGUUAAAGACAUUAAAAACUGUACAAUGUGAGCAC
Long non-coding RNA from Onychostruthus taczanowskii (white-rumped snowfinch), 784 nucleotides. RefSeq lists it as uncharacterized. The record is from RefSeq and is a predicted model, not a curated record. NCBI's taxonomy places the organism in Eukaryota, Metazoa, Chordata, Aves, Passeriformes, Passeridae. The transcript is spliced from 3 exons.